GGCGGCAUGCCUUACACAUGCAAGUCGAACGGUAACAGGGAGCUUGCUCCGCUGACGAGUGGCGAACGGGUGAGUAAUAUAUCGGAACGUGCCCUGGAGUGGGGGAUAACUAGUCGAAAGAUUAGCUAAUACCGCAUACGAUCUAAGGAUGAAAGUGGGGGAUCGCAAGACCUCAUGCUCGUGGAGCGGCCGAUAUCUGAUUAGCUAGUUGGUGGGGUAAAAGCCCACCAAGGCGACGAUCAGUAGCUGGUCUGAGAGGACGACCAGCCACACUGGGACUGAGACACGGCCCAGACUCCUACGGGAGGCAGCAGUGGGGAAUUUUGGACAAUGGGCGCAAGCCUGAUCCAGCAAUGCCGCGUGAGUGAAGAAGGCCUUCGGGUUGUAAAGCUCUUUUGUCAGGGAAGAAACGGUGCGGGCUAAUAUCCUGUGCUAAUGACGGUACCUGAAGAAUAAGCACCGGCUAACUACGUGCCAGCAGCCGCGGUAAUACGUAGGGUGCAAGCGUUAAUCGGAAUUACUGGGCGUAAAGCGUGCGCAGGCGGUUAUGU
This 551-nucleotide ribosomal RNA is filed under the name uncultured beta proteobacterium. Its description in RNAcentral is "bacterial SSU rRNA". It matches the Rfam family "Bacterial small subunit ribosomal RNA", at positions 38 to 584 of the family's 1533-position model. The record is from RNAcentral. Lineage: Bacteria; Pseudomonadati; Pseudomonadota; Betaproteobacteria.